This 206-nucleotide ribosomal RNA is filed under the name uncultured bacterium. RNAcentral's name for it is "partial 16S ribosomal RNA". It matches the Rfam family "Bacterial small subunit ribosomal RNA", at positions 568 to 774 of the family's 1533-position model. The record is from RNAcentral.
CGCGUAGGCGGGAUAGUCCGUCUGUUGUAAAAGUGCGGGGCUCAACCCCGUAGAGCAAUGGAAACAGCUAUUCUUGAGUGCAGGAGAGGAAAGUGGAAUUCCCAGUGUAGCGGUGAAAUGCGUAGAGAUUGGGAAGAACACCAGUGGCGAAGGCGACUUUCUGGACUGUGUCUGACGCUGAGGCGCGAAAGCCAGGGGAGCGAACG